This is a long non-coding RNA of Mus musculus (house mouse), 910 nucleotides long. RefSeq annotates it as RIKEN cDNA A230103O09 gene. The transcript has 2 exons. The record is from RefSeq and is marked validated. NCBI's taxonomy places the organism in Eukaryota, Metazoa, Chordata, Mammalia, Rodentia, Muridae.
AGAUAGAUGAGGGCUUUCUCUGCCAUUGCAGGCUGAGACUUCUCGGGGCUGCUGGAUGGAGGCGCGGGCUGGCAGGAGCGGGAGCCCAGAAGCCAAAGCGGUGGCCUUGAACUCCAGGCCAAGAUGCGCAUCUACCAGCGUCGUCUCCCCUCCUCCCUCUACUUCCUCCCAGGCACGCCAGCUGCGGGGCUUUCAAACCGCGCCCUCUUCCUGCUUGAGGAGCUCAAGGUGAGCCUUGGGCCUGAUGGCUGCACGGAAAACCUCUCUACAUGUCAGCAGAGCUCAAAGCCAAGAGAAAUCAUUUGACAGAACCUGGAGUCAUCUUUGGUUGUCAUGAUGGGAGGAUGCAGGAGGAUGGAAGGAGUUAUGUGAUCUGUACCUGGCGUGAAGAUAACAAGGAUAUUGAUACACAGCACAGCACAGCCCACUCACUGAACAUAUCCCUACCCUCCCCAAGCCAGCAGUAACAAGGUUGAAAAACCCUGAGGUGUAAGUUGUGAAUUAAAAACUGAGCAAGUUGUGACAAAGUACUGGGACAAUGGAAGGAUGAGGUGGUGCCAGAGUCUUUUGGGAAAUCAGGGAAACCUCACAUGGCCCAUCUCCAUACAAGAUUAAACUUCAAGAAAUUUCUGGGACACUUCUAUGUGCUUUGCAACCUUCUGUGACCAGCGAGAGGCCUGGGGGGAGUCAGUACUUUCCUACUGUAUUUAUACCUGGCAUAACUAGCAUGACAUUAACCUAGAGAUUAUUAGGAAUGAGAUAAUAAAUACUAAGCUAUAUAAUCAAAGGUGUGCGGCUGCUCCAAUUAAAAUCUACAGUUGCCUGUGAACCGGAUUCAGGGGCACAGGGUGGUGACUAGAUAAAUGUUCACUCAAUGAAGAAAAGAAUAAAUAGUUUUUAAUUGAAUGAA